RNAcentral lists this non-coding RNA (148 nucleotides) under Homo sapiens (human). Lineage: Eukaryota; Metazoa; Chordata; Mammalia; Primates; Hominidae. The record is from Rfam by way of RNAcentral.
GCCGGGUGUGGUGGUGUGCACCUGUAAUCUCAGCUACUCGGGAGGCUGAGGCAGGAGAAUCACUUGAACCUGGGAGGUGGGGGUUACAGUGAGCCAAGAUCAUGCUACUGCAUUCCAGCCUGGGUGACAGAGUGAUACUCUGUCUCAA